Long non-coding RNA from Mytilus californianus (California mussel), 732 nucleotides. RefSeq lists it as uncharacterized. The record is from RefSeq and is a predicted model, not a curated record. The transcript is spliced from 2 exons. Lineage: Eukaryota; Metazoa; Mollusca; Bivalvia; Mytilida; Mytilidae.
GUAUAAAACUUUUAUUUCAGCUUUAAACCUCGUUUUUAUAAAAAAUCCCUGUACCACCUGCAUAAUCUCACACCAAAGGUCAUGGCGUUGAUAGUUCACGUCUUUGCUGCAAUAUUCGCUUUGAACUUCCUGGGAUGUCCCGCCUUGCAGCUAGAUCAAUCAGUUAUGGAUCUAUGUCCAGAGUUUACUAAGUUGAAACAGGAUAUCAAGUCUGAACUAGCAUCUAUAAAGUCGAAGCUUCAGAGUGGACAAGAUAAGAGAGUUGCAUUUCAUGCAAAACUACAACCAAGGAUUGAAGCUAUGUUGCCUUCAACGACAAUGGUAUUUGAUUACGUUAUCACAAACAUUGGAAGCGCUUAUAACAAUCGAAAUGGGCAUUUUACUGCUCCUUAUGAUGGGGUGUAUGUCUUUGUUUCUACAUUUCAUUCGAUGCUAUAUAAUAGCUAUGGUCUACAUCUACAAAUGGUCAAAAACAACUAUGUUUUAUCAGAAGCAUCAGCUGGCGCAAGAAGUGAUGGAAGCUCAAUGAUUGCAAUAGUAUCUCUAAAACGAGAUGAUGCUAUAAAAUACGUAAUAAUCCAAUUUAUAGAGGAACAUUUCAGGAAGGUAUGGGUUUCUUUUCUGGUUAUCCUGUGUAUUGAAACCAGAACACACAUAAUACACGAUUUCCAUACGGUUGAUUCUAAAUUACUUUGAUUUGUAUUGUUGUAAUAAACUUUUGUGAAACCUGUU